RNAcentral lists this ribosomal RNA (497 nucleotides) under uncultured bacterium. Its description in RNAcentral is "partial 16S ribosomal RNA". It matches the Rfam family "Bacterial small subunit ribosomal RNA", at positions 28 to 507 of the family's 1533-position model. The record is from RNAcentral.
GAUGAACGCUGGCGGCGUGCCUAAUACAUGCAAGUCGAGCGAACAGACGAGGAGCUUGCUCCUCUGACGUUAGCGGCGGACGGGUGAGUAACACGUGGAUAACCUACCUAUAAGACUGGGAUAACUUCGGGAAACCGGAGCUAAUACCGGAUAAUAUAUUGAACCGCAUGGUUCAAUAGUGAAAGACGGUUUUGCUGUCACUUAUAGAUGGAUCCGCGCCGCAUUAGCUAGUUGGUAAGGUAACGGCUUACCAAGGCAACGAUGCGUAGCCGACCUGAGAGGGUGAUUGGCCACACUGGAACUGAGACACGGUCCAGACUCCUACGGGAGGCAGCAGUAGGGAAUCUUCCGCAAAGGGCGAAAGCCUGACGGAGCAACGCCGCGUGAGUGAUGAAGGUCUUCGGAUCGUAAAACUCUGUUAUUAGGGAAGAACAAAUGUGUAAGUAACUAUGCACGUCUUGACGGUACCUAAUCAGAAAGCCACGGCUAACUACGUG